CAAGAGAGUUUGUUGGAGAGACCCACAGGGUCCUAGAAAGUAUACAAGCCCACCCACACAGGACCCAGCACCAGACGCCCCAUUUGCUUGUAGGAAGCGGCAAAGGGGACUGAAAUCCAACAGAGUGGAGCAAGCGCCUUUGUUCCCUGUUGGACCCUGCCCCCAUAUACAGUGUCCCAACCCAGCAACUGGGUUGCCCCACCCUGGUGAACACCUAAGGCUCCGCCCCUCAUAAGUAACAGCCAUGACAGGAACAA
Phyllostomus discolor (pale spear-nosed bat) is the source of this 257-nucleotide long non-coding RNA. RefSeq lists it as uncharacterized. NCBI's taxonomy places the organism in Eukaryota, Metazoa, Chordata, Mammalia, Chiroptera, Phyllostomidae. The transcript is spliced from 3 exons. The record is from RefSeq and is a predicted model, not a curated record.